This 583-nucleotide long non-coding RNA is filed under the name Monodelphis domestica (gray short-tailed opossum). Its description in RNAcentral is "lncRNA (ENSMODG00000032214.2)". Lineage: Eukaryota; Metazoa; Chordata; Mammalia; Didelphimorphia; Didelphidae. The record is from RNAcentral.
UUUUGCUUCUAAUUGACUGGUACAAUCAUUGAAUUGAUGAUUCCCAUUGUCCUUUUCUGCAUCCCAGGUACAACAAAAGAAAACCAGAAGAGCAUUGCCAAGUCAGAACUAGCAGUUCUCACAGAUACUUAUGGCAACCAAGCAGGCACAGGCGCCAUCUUUUGAUCCCAUGAUCUCCAGAGACUCAACAUUCUGCAAGAUGAAAUCAGCUCUGAAACUCUCAGCUCCUCAGAUCAUUUCCCAUACCACCCUUCCCCUGACUCCAGCUUCUUCUUAUGUAUUGUCUUUCUCCACCAUAUUGUGAGGUCCUCGGAGGCAGGAACUGUCAUAUCUUUCUUUGUAUUCCCAGCAGUUAGCACAGUUCCCAGCACAUAGUAGGUACUUAAAAAAGGUUUAUUGACUCUAAAAUACUUAUAUCUGCUUUCUCUUCUGUAAAAUGGGAAUGGUACCAAUUAACACUUACCUUAUCUUGUGGUUAUGAGGAUUAAAUGAGGUAACAUGUAAAGGACUUUGCAAAUCUUGAAGUGCUAUAUAAAUGUUAGCUAUUAAUAAAUAUGACCAAAGGGCAUAAAAUAAAUGGUUU